Molecule: small RNA, 784 nt
Filed under: Microascus longirostris
Lineage: Eukaryota; Fungi; Ascomycota; Sordariomycetes; Microascales; Microascaceae
Description: eukaryotic LSU rRNA
Rfam family: Eukaryotic large subunit ribosomal RNA
Source: RNAcentral
AAGACCAACAGGGAUUGCCCCAGUAACGGCGAGUGAAGCGGCAACAGCUCAAAUUUGAAAUCUGGUCCCCCUUGGGGGCCCGAGUUGUAAUUUGAAGAGGAUGCUUCUGGCGAGGCGCCGUCCGAGUUCCCUGGAACGGGACGCCAAAGAGGGUGAGAGCCCCGUACGGUCGGACGCCGAGCCUCUGUGAAGCUCCUUCGACGAGUCGAGUAGUUUGGGAAUGCUGCUCAAAAUGGGAGGUAAACCCCUUCUAAAGCUAAAUACCGGCCAGAGACCGAUAGCGCACAAGUAGAGUGAUCGAAAGAUGAAAAGCACUUUGAAAAGAGAGUUAAAAAGCACGUGAAAUUGUUGAAAGGGAAGCGCUUGCGACCAGACUCGCGCCCGUCGGAUCAGCCGUCGCUUGUCGGCGGCGCACUCCGGCGGGCUCGGGCCAGCAUCGGUUCGCCUCGGGGGGAGAAAGGCGGCGGGAACGUGGCUCUACGGAGUGUUAUAGCCCGCCGCGCAAUACCCCCGGGUGGACCGAGGACCGCGCGAAAGCAAGGAUGCUGGCGUAAUGGUCGUCAGCGACCCGUCUUGAAACACGGACCAAGGAGUCGUCCUAAUAUGCGAGUGUACGGGUGUCAAACCCCUGCGCGUAAUGAAAGUGAACGGAGGUGAGAGCUUCGGCGCAUCAUCGACCGAUCCUGAUGUUCUCGGAUGGAUUUGAGUAAGAGCAUAUUGGGCCGGACCCGAAAGAAGGUGAACUAUGCCUGUGUAGGGUAAAGCCAGAGGAAACUCUGGUGGA